GGGGUAGAGUGCAUAUGUCAUACAUUUUGGCAAAGCUUUCAUGUACAGUACAAAUGUUUGUGUAUGUGUGUGUGUGUGUGUGUGUGUGUGUGUGUGAGAGAGAGAUGUGUGUGUGGGUUGGGGGGAUUGUGUGUGUGUGGGUUGGGGGGGUAACUCUUUGAAGGACUCAUUCUGUUUUAUUAAAAGGAGAGGUUGACCUGUUAUCACCGUUCUAGAGACUACAUCCUGUCAAUCUAUUAAAGGAGAGGUUUCUGUUAAUCUAUUAAAGGAGAGGUUUCAGAGACCUGACCGUUCUAGAGACUACAUCCUGUCAAUCCAUUAAAGGAGAGGUUUCUGUCAAUAUAUUGAUCCAUUCAUAAAUUGAUUAAAAGUCUGAAGAGAUAAAUAUACGUUGAUGUCACCAGAAAGAGGUCCGUGAUGAUGAUGUUUUGAGAAGCCAGUCCCCUUCUACAGUAUUUACAGUUGAAGUCAGUUCCCCUUCUACAGUAGUUACAGUUGAAGUCAGUUCCCCUUCUACAGUAUUUACAGUUGAAGUCAGUUUGAAGUCAGUUCCCCUUCUACAGUAUUUACAGUUGAAGUCAGUUCCCCUUCUACAGUAUUUACAGUUGAAGUCAAUUCCCC
This is a long non-coding RNA of Oncorhynchus tshawytscha (Chinook salmon), 621 nucleotides long. NCBI's taxonomy places the organism in Eukaryota, Metazoa, Chordata, Actinopteri, Salmoniformes, Salmonidae. The record is from Ensembl.